RNAcentral lists this ribosomal RNA (494 nucleotides) under uncultured bacterium. RNAcentral describes it as "partial 16S ribosomal RNA". It matches the Rfam family "Bacterial small subunit ribosomal RNA", at positions 28 to 507 of the family's 1533-position model. The record is from RNAcentral.
GACGAACGCUGGCGGCGCGCUUAACACAUGCAAGUCGAACGGAAAGGCCUGCUUUCCCUUGUGGAUUGCGGGUACUCGAGUGGCGAACGGGUGAGUAACACGUGAGUGAUCUGCCCCCAACUUGGGUAUAAGCCUGGGAAACUGGGUCUAAUUCCCGAUAGGACUGCAGGGUGGUGCCUGUGGUGGAAAACGAUUUUCUAGUGGUUGGGGAUGAGCUCGCGGCCUACCAGCUUGUUGGUGGGGUAAUGGCCUACCAAGGCGGCGACGGGUAGCCGGCCUGAGAGGGUGGACGGCCACAUUGGGACUGAGAUACGGCCCAGACUCCUACGGGAGGCAGCAGUGGGGAAUAUUGCACAAUGGGCGGAAGCCUGAUGCAGCGACGCCGCGUGGGGGAUGACGGCCUUCGGGUUGUAAACUCCUUUCGACCGCGAGGAAGCCACCUGGUUGGAAGGGUGGUGACGGUAGUGGUAGAAGAAGCGCCGGCUAACUACGUG